Molecule: ribosomal RNA, 441 nt
Filed under: uncultured bacterium
Lineage: Bacteria
Description: partial 16S ribosomal RNA
Rfam family: Bacterial small subunit ribosomal RNA
Source: RNAcentral
CCUACGGGAGGCAGCAGUGGGGAAUAUUGCACAAUGGGGGAAACCCUGAUGCAGCGACGCCGCGUGGGUGACGAAGUAUUUCGGUAUGUAAAGCCCUAUCAGCAGGGAAGAAGAUGACAGUACCUGACCAAGAAGCCCCGGCUAACUACGUGCCAGCAGCCGCGGUAAUACGUAGGGGGCAAGCGUUAUCCGGAUUUACUGGGUGUAAAGGGAGCGUAGGUGGCAUGGCAAGCCAGAAGUGAAAACCCGGGGCUUAACCCCGCGGAUUGCUUUUGGAACUGUCAGGCUGGAGUGCAGGAGGGGUAGGCGGAAUUCCUGGUGUAGCGGUGAAAUGCGUAGAUAUCAGGAGGAACACCGGUGGCGAAGGCGGCCUGCUGGACUGUAACUGACACUGAGGCUCGAAAGCGUGGGGAGCAAACAGGAUUAGAUACCCCGGUAGUC